RNAcentral lists this ribosomal RNA (497 nucleotides) under uncultured bacterium. RNAcentral describes it as "partial 16S ribosomal RNA". It matches the Rfam family "Bacterial small subunit ribosomal RNA", at positions 28 to 507 of the family's 1533-position model. The record is from RNAcentral.
GAUGAACGCUGGCGGCGUGCCUAAUACAUGCAAGUAGAACGCUGAAGGAAGGAGCUUGCUCUUUCCGGAUGAGUUGCGAACGGGUGAGUAACGCGUAGGUAACCUGCCUGGUAGCGGGGGAUAACUACUGGAAACGAUAGCUAAUACCGCAUAACAGUAUAUGUUGCAUGAUAUCUACUUAAAAGGUGCAAUUUCACCACUACCAGAUGGACCUGCGUUGUAUUAGCUAGUUGGUGAGGUAACUGCUCACCAAGGCGACGAUACAUAGCCGACCUGAGAGGGUGAUCGGCCACACUGGGACUGAGACACGGCCCAGACUCCUACGGGAGGCAGCAGUAGGGAAUCUUCGGCAAUGGAGGGAAGUCUGACCGAGCAAGGCCGGGUGAGUGAAGGAGGUUUUCGGAUCGUAAAGCUCUGUUGUAAGAGAAGAACGAGUGUGAGAGUGGAAAGUUCACAGUGUGACGGUAUCUUAAGAGAAAGGGACGGCUAACUACGUG